UAUGCCGCUGACAAAGAUGAGCUCUACCAGUCUCUCCUUUUUUUUAUUCCAUCAAAGGCCAGUUCUAAUUUUUCCUUCGAAAUCUCAUCCAUAAGCCUUUUAUAAAGCCGGCUCCGGUGGGUCCCCUGGUUCUCUAUUUGCUUAAGGUGGUCCAAGUACGUAUCCAAUGAGAAUGCCCUACCAAAAGGAUAGAAGAGCACCCCCCUAAUCUGGUGCCUUUUCUCUAAAAUGGAACCUUCUUGAACCCUGUCCGAACGAAGGGCUUCCUCUAUCUUAAGCUCAGUUUGUAAUUGGGUCUCAAUUAUUGCCUCAGAAAUAUCUUCGGGCAAGGGACGA
RNAcentral lists this long non-coding RNA (336 nucleotides) under Nicotiana benthamiana. RNAcentral's name for it is "long non-coding RNA (NBEN_LNC013007)". Lineage: Eukaryota; Viridiplantae; Streptophyta; Magnoliopsida; Solanales; Solanaceae. The record is from RNAcentral.